RNAcentral lists this ribosomal RNA (440 nucleotides) under uncultured bacterium. RNAcentral describes it as "partial 16S ribosomal RNA". It matches the Rfam family "Bacterial small subunit ribosomal RNA", at positions 338 to 795 of the family's 1533-position model. The record is from RNAcentral.
CCUACGGGUGGCAGCAGUGGGGAAUAUUGCACAAUGGGGGAAACCCUGAUGCAGCGACGCCGCGUGAGUGAAGAAGUAUUUCGGUAUGUAAAGCUCUAUCAGCAGGGAAGAAAAUGACGGUACCUGAUUAAGAAGCCCCGGCUAACUACGUGCCAGCAGCCGCGGUAAUACGUAGGGGGCAAGCGUUAUCCCGAUUUACUGGGUGUAAAGGGGGGGUAGACGGCAGCACAAGUCUGGAGGGAAAUGCCGGGGCUUAACCCCGGAACUGCUUUGGAAACUGUGCAGCUAGAGUGCAGGAGAGGUAAGUGGAAUUCCUAGUGUAGCGGUGAAAUGCGUAGAUAUGAGGAGGAACACCAGUGGCGAAGGCGGCUUACCGGACUGUAACUGACGUUGAGGCUCGAAAGCGUGGGGAGCAAACAGGAUUAGAUACCCGUGUAGUC